GAUGAACGCUAGCGGCAGGCCUAAUACAUGCAAGUCGAACGGCAAGGAUCUUUCGGGAUCCCUAGAGUGGCGAACGGGUGCGUAACGCGUAUGCAACCUACCCUUUACAGGGGGAUAGCC
Molecule: ribosomal RNA, 120 nt
Filed under: uncultured bacterium
Lineage: Bacteria
Description: partial 16S ribosomal RNA
Rfam family: Bacterial small subunit ribosomal RNA
Source: RNAcentral